Molecule: RNA transcript, 4331 nt
Organism: Neltuma alba
Lineage: Eukaryota; Viridiplantae; Streptophyta; Magnoliopsida; Fabales; Fabaceae
Gene name: spliceosome-associated protein 130 A
Exons: 5
Source: RefSeq, a predicted model, not a curated record
UAUUCCGAUGCAAAACCCUACCCUUCCUUUCCCAUUCUCAUUUGCAGCUCAUUCUGUCGCUCGCCAGCUCGGGGUGAGUCAUGUAUCUCUACAAUCUUACUCUCCAGCGACCUACUGGCAUAGUGUGCGCCAUUAAUGGGAGCUUCUCUGGUGGCAAAACCCAAGAAAUUGUUGUUGCUCGAGGCAAAGUUCUCGAUCUUCUCCGCCCAGACGAUAAUGGUAGGAUCCAAUCUUUACUCUCUGUUGAAAUUUUCGGUGCUAUAAGAUCUUUAGCUCAAUUUAGGCUUACUGGGGCUCAGAAGGACUAUAUCGUUGUGGGCUCUGACUCUGGUAGAAUUGUAAUUCUUGAGUACAAUAAGGAGAAAAACGUUUUUGAUAAAAUCCAUCAGGAGACUUUUGGUAAAUCUGGUUGCCGUCGUAUUGUUCCAGGACAAUACUUGGCCAUAGAUCCCAAGGGUAGGGCGGUUAUGAUUGGGGCUUGUGAGAAACAAAAACUUGUUUAUGUGUUAAAUAGGGAUACUGCAGCGAGGUUGACAAUAUCCUCUCCUUUAGAAGCGCAUAAGUCUCAUACUUUGGUGUACUCUAUUUGUGGAGUUGACUGCGGGUUUGAGAACCCAAUGUUUGCCUCUAUUGAAUUGGAUUACUCAGAGGCUGAUCAGGAUUCAACAGGUCAGGCAGCUAGCGAGGCUCAGAAGCAUUUAACAUUUUAUGAACUUGAUUUGGGGCUGAACCAUGUGUCUAGGAAGUGGUCAGAACAGGUUGAUAAUGGUGCAAAUCUACUUGUCACUGUUCCUGGGGGUGGGGAUGGGCCUAGUGGUGUGCUGGUUUGUGCAGAAAAUUUUGUUAUCUACAAAAAUCAGGGACACCCAGAUGUCCGGGCUGUGAUUCCAAGACGAGCAGACUUGCCUGCUGAGCGUGGUGUUCUUAUAGUUUCAGCAGCUAUGCAUAAGUUGAAAUCCAUGUUCUUCUUCCUUGUGCAGACAGAAUAUGGAGAUAUUUUUAAGGUUACUCUGGAACAUGAUGGUGACCGUGUCUCAGAAUUGAAAAUUAAGUAUUUUGACACUAUUCCAGUUACUGCAUCAAUGUGUGUGUUGAAAUCAGGAUUCCUAUUUGCAGCCUCAGAGUUUGGAAAUCAUGCUUUAUAUCAGUUUAAGGCAAUAGGGGAUGAUGCUGAUGUUGAAGCUUCAUCAGCAACACUAAUGGAAACUGAUGAAGGCUUUCAGCCAGUGUAUUUCCAGCCCAGAAGACUGAAGAACCUUGUUAGGAUUGAUCAGGUUGAGAGUUUGAUGCCAAUAAUGGAUAUGAAGGUCACAAAUCUCUUUGAAGAAGAAACUCCUCAAAUAUUUACACUGUGUGGGCGUGGUCCUCGUUCAUCUUUGAGGAUUUUGAGAACUGGAUUGGCAGUCAGUGAGAUGGCAGUGUCAAAGCUUCCUGGUAUACCUAGUGCCGUCUGGACUGUGAAAAAGAAUGUAAAUGAUGAGUUUGAUGCAUAUAUUGUUGUGUCAUUCACAAAUGCAACACUUGUUCUUUCCAUUGGUGAGACAGUUGAAGAAGUUAGUGACAGUGGAUUUCUUGAUACCACACCUUCUCUUGCUGUUUCCUUGAUAGGUGAUGAUUCUCUCAUGCAGGUUCACCCUAAUGGCAUUAGACAUAUCAGGGAGGAUGGACGUAUCAAUGAGUGGAGAACUCCUGGAAAGAGGACAAUUGCAAAAGUUGGUUCAAAUAGACUUCAAGUAGUCAUUGCCCUGAGUGGAGGUGAACUGAUUUACUUUGAGGUGGAUGUCACUGGUCAGUUGAUGGAGGUGGAGAAGCAUGAAAUGUCUGGAGAUGUUGCAUGUCUGGAUAUUGCAGCAGUACCAGAAGGCAGACAAAGAUCUCGUUUUCUUGCUGUCGGUUCAUAUGAUAAGACAAUCCGUAUCUUAUCUUUGGAUCCUGAUGACUGUAUGCAGAUUCUUAGUGUGCAAAGUGUUUCUUCAGCCCCAGAAUCUCUUCUGUUUCUUGAAGUCCAGGCAUCCACUGGUGGUGAGGAUGGUGCAGAUCAUCCUGCUAGCCUUUUCCUGAAUGCUGGUCUACAGAAUGGUGUCUUGUUUAGAACUGUUGUGGAUAUGGUUACUGGUCAGCUUUCUGAUUCUCGUUCUCGAUUCUUGGGAUUGAGAGCCCCAAAGCUAUUUCCCAUCAUUGUAAGAGGCAAGCGUGCAAUGCUUUGCUUGUCAAGUCGACCCUGGCUUGGUUACAUCCACCAAGGACAUUUUCUUUUAACCCCCCUUUCAUAUGAAACCCUUGAGUAUGCAGCAUCAUUUUCAUCUGAUCAAUGUGUGGAAGGUGUAGUUGCUGUGGCUGGCGAGGCAUUGAGGAUUUUUACAAUUGAAAGGCUUGGGGAAACUUUUAAUGAGACAGUAAUUCCACUACGUUACACGCCAAGAAAGUUUGUGCUGCAACCCAAAAAAAGGCUUUUGGUUAUGAUUGAGAGUGAUCAAGGAGCCUUCACAGCUGAAGAGCGAGAAGCUGCAAGAAAAGAAUGUUUUGAGGCUGUUGGAGCGGGGGAAAAUGAAAAUGGUAAUGUAGCCCAAAUGGAGAAUGGUGGUGAGGAUGAAGAUAAAGAUGAUCCACUCUCUGAUGAGCAUUAUGGUUAUCCGAAAGCUGAAUCAGAGAAAUGGGCUUCCUGCAUCAGAGUUCUUGAUCCGAGAUCUGGAAAUACUACUUGUCUCUUGGAGCUUCAGGAUAAUGAAGCUGCAUUCAGUGUGUGCACAGUGAAUUUCCAUGAUAAGGAGCAUGGAACUCUUCUAGCUGUUGGUACAGCAAAGGGACUGCAGUUUUGGCCCAAAAGAAGUUUCGUUGCUGGAUUUAUUCAUAUUUAUAGAUUUGUAGAAGAUGGAAGAUCCCUUGAACUUCUGCACAAAACUCAGGUUGAAGGCGUCCCACUUGCUUUAUGCCAAUUUCAAGGAAGAUUGCUUGCAGGAAUAGGGCCGGUGCUCAGGCUAUAUGAUUUGGGGAAAAGACGACUGUUAAGGAAAUGUGAGAAUAAACUAUUCCCCAAUACAAUUGUCUCCAUCCAUGCAUAUCGUGAUCGCAUUUAUGUUGGUGACAUCCAAGAGUCUUUCCAUUACUGCAAGUAUAGGCGGGAUGAGAAUCAACUCUAUAUAUUUGCGGAUGAUUGUGUUCCAAGAUGGCUUACUGCAUCAUACCAUGUAGAUUUUGACACCAUGGCAGGUGCAGACAAAUUUGGGAACAUUUAUUUUGUCCGCUUACCACAAGAUGUUUCUGAUGAGAUAGAGGAAGAUCCUACUGGUGGGAGGAUUAAGUGGGAGCAGGGAAAGCUGAAUGGAGCUCCCAAUAAGGUGGAAGAAAUUGUACAAUUUCAUGUUGGUGAUGUGGUUACAUGCUUGCAGAAAGCAUCUCUUAUACCAGGGGGUGGAGAGAGCAUCAUAUAUGGAACAGUUAUGGGAAGUGUAGGGGCAUUGCAUGCUUUUACUUCCCGUGAUGAUGUUGAUUUCUUUUCUCAUUUGGAGAUGCACAUGAGGCAGGAUCAUCCGCCUUUGUGCGGUAGAGACCACAUGGCUUAUAGAUCUGCCUAUUUUCCUGUUAAGGAUGUGAUUGAUGGAGAUCUGUGUGAGCAAUUCCCGACAUUGCCCAUGGACUUGCAAAGAAAAAUUGCUGAUGAAUUAGACAGAACCCCCGGAGAGAUUCUGAAGAAGCUCGAGGAAGUACGGAACAAAAUUAUUUGAAAGAUUAUUGGCCAAAAGCCUCUUGCUGGAUGAAAGCAAUUAUGAGGAACCUUUCGAAAUAAAAUGGAGGGAUGGUCAGAACUGGGAGUAAAAAAAUGGAGGGGAUUUACAAAGUAAAAGCUAGUCUUGUCUUUUCCUUGCAUUACCAUGCGUGAUGAUACAAAGCUGUUAUUGCAUCUGCGGUGUUAUUCGGCUUGCUUCUUACAAAUCUGCUGCGCUCAGAAUGGAUAAAUCGACAGCUUGUCUGUCAAUUGUAAUGUUGAUCCGGUCAUAGUAGAACUAUGUCUGUUGGGCGUUGCCUGUAGUUUAGCCACUAACAAUGUGAAGAAGCUUGUGGAUUGUCGGUCAUAGGUGGAUCAAUGAUUUCUUGUCCUGUCUAAAGUUAGUUGCUGAAGAGAGAGAGCUGAAAGAAGUUGAGCAUUGUUUAUGAGCCCCAGUUGGCAUUCCUGUUGUACUUAACAAAUUAAAUGUCGAUACUAGGUUAAUGUGAUGAUGCCUAUUAAGAUUUUCAACCCCUAGAAAACAAGAUCUUUAUUCCCAUGUGUUUCGUCGAAGUGUAUAUGGACGGAGUUAUUGUUAAAAGAAGUUUCCUAAGGGUAAAUGGCU